Cotesia glomerata is the source of this 290-nucleotide long non-coding RNA. RefSeq lists it as uncharacterized. The record is from RefSeq and is a predicted model, not a curated record. Lineage: Eukaryota; Metazoa; Arthropoda; Insecta; Hymenoptera; Braconidae. The transcript is spliced from 3 exons.
AAGAACAUUAUUUUCAGUAACUUUUAAACAGAAAUCACUGUAUGAACAUGGCUUGCACAAAUUCUGAUGGUUGAAUUUGAAGAAUUAUAGAUAACUUUGGAGUUAUUGCGAUUGACCGAAAAUCGACGAUAUUCCGAGUGAAGAAAUCACUGUAUAAACAAGGCUUGCACAGAUUCUAAUGGUAAUAUUCAAGAACUUACUGAUUUUUUCGGAUUCAUUGCGUUUGGACCGAAAAUCGACGAUUUUCCAGAAAUCACGAUAUAAACAUGGCUUGCACAAAUUCUGAUGGU